GACGAACGCUGGCGGCGUGCUUAACACAUGCAAGUCGAACGGAAAGGCCCUGCUUUUGUGGGGUGCUCGAGUGGCGAACGGGUGAGUAACACGUGAGUAACCUGCCCUUGACUUUGGGAUAACUUCAGGAAACUGGGGCUAAUACCGGUUAGGAGCUCCUGCUGCAUGGUGGGGGUUGGAAAGUUUCGGCGGUUGGGGAUGGACUCGCGGCUUAUCAGCUUGUUGGUGGGGUAGUGGCUUACCAAGGCUUUGACGGGUAGCCGGCCUGAGAGGGUGACCGGCCACAUUGGGACUGAGAGACGGCCCAGACUCCUACGGGAGGCAGCAGUGGGGAAUAUUGCACAAUGGGCGGAAGCCUGAUGCAGCAACGCCGCGUGCGGGAUGACGGCCUUCGGGUUGUAAACCGCUUUCGCCUGUGACGAAGCGUGAGUGACGGUAAUGGGUAAAGAAGCACCGGCUAACUACG
RNAcentral lists this ribosomal RNA (466 nucleotides) under uncultured bacterium. RNAcentral's name for it is "partial 16S ribosomal RNA". It matches the Rfam family "Bacterial small subunit ribosomal RNA", at positions 28 to 505 of the family's 1533-position model. The record is from RNAcentral.